This 454-nucleotide ribosomal RNA is filed under the name uncultured bacterium. Its description in RNAcentral is "bacterial SSU rRNA". It matches the Rfam family "Bacterial small subunit ribosomal RNA", at positions 349 to 793 of the family's 1533-position model. The record is from RNAcentral.
CAGCAGUGGGGGAAUAUUGCACAAUGGGCGCAAGCCUGAUGCAGCCAUGCCGCGUGUGUGAAGAAGGCCUUCGGGUUGUAAAGCACUUUCAGUAGGGAGGAAGGUAGUGUAGUUAAUAGCUGCAUUAUUUGACGUUAGCGACAGAAGAAGCACCGGCUAACUCCGUGCCAGCAGCCGCGGUAAUACGGAGGGUGCGAGCGUUAAUCGGAAUUACUGGGCGUAAAGCGCAUGCAGGUGGUUUGUUAAGUCAGAUGUGAAAGCCCGGGGCGUCAACCUCGGAAUAGCAUUUGAAACUGGCAGACUAGAGUACUGUAGAGGGGGUAGGAAUUUCAGGUGUAGCGGUGAAAUGCGUAGAGAUCUGAAGGAAUACCGGUGGCGAAGGCGGCCCCCUGGACAGAUACUGACACUCAGAUGCGAAAGCGUGGGGAGCAAACAGGAUUAGAUACCCUGGUAG